ACUCCUGCGGGAGGCAGCAGUGGGGAAUAUUGCACAAUGGGCGCAAGCCUGAUGCAGCCAUGCCGCGUGUAUGAAGAAGGCCUUCGGGUUGUAAAGUACUUUCAGCGGGGAGGAAGGCGAUAAGGUUAAUAACCUUGUCGAUUGACGUUACCCGCAGAAGAAGCACCGGCUAACUCCGUGCCAGCAGCCGCGGUAAUACGGAGGGUGCAAGCGUUAAUCGGAAUUACUGGGCGUAAAGCGCACGCAGGCGGUCUGUCAAGUCGGAUGUGAAAUCCCCGGGCUCAACCUGGGAACUGCAUUCGAAACUGGCAGGCUAGAGUCUUGUAGAGGGGGGUAGAAUUCCAGGUGUAGCGGUGAAAUGCGUAGAGAUCUGGAGGAAUACCGGUGGCGAAGGCGGCCCCCUGGACAAAGACUGACGCUCAGGUGCGAAAGCGUGGGGAGCAAACAGGAUUAGAAACCCCUGUAGUCCCA
Molecule: ribosomal RNA, 471 nt
Filed under: uncultured organism
Description: partial 16S ribosomal RNA
Rfam family: Bacterial small subunit ribosomal RNA
Source: RNAcentral